ACAGAGGGUGCGAGCGUUGUCCGGAAUUACUGGGCGUAAAGGGCGCGUAGGCGGCCUGAUAAGUAUGGGGUGAAAUCUCACGGCUCAACCGUGAGGCUGCCUUGUAGACUGUCAGGCUUGAGCACGGUAGAGGCAGAUGGAAUUCCCGGUGUAGCGGUGGAAUGCGUAGAGAUCGGGAAGAACACCAGUGGCGAAGGCGGACUGCUGGGCCGUAGCUGACGCUGAGGCGCGACAGCGUGGGGAGCAAACAGGAUUAGAUACCCUGGUAGUCCACGCCGUAAACGAUGGGCACUAGGCGUCGGGGGGAGCGACCCUCCCGGUGCCGUCGCUAACGCAGUAAGUGCCCCGCCUGGGGAGUACGGCCGCAAGGCUG
Molecule: ribosomal RNA, 373 nt
Filed under: uncultured bacterium
Lineage: Bacteria
Description: bacterial SSU rRNA
Rfam family: Bacterial small subunit ribosomal RNA
Source: RNAcentral